AAUUUAAAGUCUAAUCUGCCCACUGAUAUAUUAUAUUAAAGGGCUGCAGUAUAUUGACUGUACAAAGGUAGCAUAAUCAUUAGUCUUUUAAUUGAAGACUUGUAUGAAAGAUUUGAUGAAAUAUAAACUGUCUCUAAUUUAUAUAUAGAAAUUAAUUUUUUAGUUAAAAAGCUAAAAUAAAGUUAAAAGACGAGAAGACCCUAUAGAGUUUUAUAUUUUACUUGUUUAAUGUUAAAUAUAUAAUUAAAUUAUAUAAAAAAAUUAAAAUAUUGUGUUGGGGUGAUAGAAAAAUUUAAUAAACUUUUUUUUUGUGGUUAAACAUAAAUAAGUGAUUAAUUGAUCCAUUUUUAGUGAUUAAAAGAAAAAAUUACCUUAGGGAUAACAGCGUAAUAUUUUUUUUUAGUACAAAUAAAAAAAAAAGUUUGCGACCUCGAUGUUGGAUUAAAAUAAAAUUUAAAUGCAAAAGUUUAAAAUUUUGAUCUGUUCGAUCAUUAAAAUCUUACAUG
RNAcentral lists this ribosomal RNA (506 nucleotides) under Hypolimnas bolina (common eggfly). RNAcentral's name for it is "partial 16S ribosomal RNA". It matches the Rfam family "Bacterial large subunit ribosomal RNA", at positions 1844 to 2602 of the family's 2925-position model. The record is from RNAcentral. Lineage: Eukaryota; Metazoa; Arthropoda; Insecta; Lepidoptera; Nymphalidae.